GCUGCUAAAACUCCUCUGACCCAGUGGUUCAUCAGAACCUCUGGGGAUCCUGUGGAUUCUGUGGAUCCUGUGGGUUGCAGGGUGGGUCCUACCUAGACCAGGCUGAUCCUGGACCAUCCCACAGAUGAUCAAUCAGAUCUGGAUGUGGGGAGUGUGGAACCCAGAUGUUCAGAGGGAGAUGAUGCCACAUCUGGUCCAGCUGAUGGAAGGUCUUGAAGUUGUCUGACUGGCCUCAACUGAAGAUGGUCGUCUCACUGGAUUUAAGGUUCAGAUGCUCAGUAACAAACUCCACCAAUGAGCCAACAGGGAAGCUUUAGGUUUAUUAAAUGUUGCUAUGAAGGUUUCGCUGUUUUUCUUUGUGAAUGCAAUGUGCUCCAACUGAAACUUGAAUUAGAACUUAGAAGUAAAUCCUUCCAUCUGAAAGGAUCUAGUUGCAUUAAUAACCUCAUAGCAUUCAAAUUUUUAUUUCAGUCUUGGCUGGAAAUAGAAUCUCUGUAUUGAUUCAGGUAAAAACUGAACUUCACAGCAUGUUGAAGCAAAACAACCAGAUGAAAACUGUGAUGGUGUUGGAUUGUCAGACCGUAAUGUUGCAGCUCAAAGCAGCUUUUCAAGCUCAGUUCAUUCUGACAUUCAGCUAUGAAUCAACACAGCAAAUGGUGAUCCAUGCUGUGGAAGUC
Amphiprion ocellaris (clown anemonefish) is the source of this 677-nucleotide long non-coding RNA. The record is from Ensembl. NCBI's taxonomy places the organism in Eukaryota, Metazoa, Chordata, Actinopteri, Pomacentridae.